GCGGUAUUUACACAAUGAAAACUCUUUUACGUUCUCUCUCCCUCAUCGGGAGAAGGAACUUUAGGGCAUACUAAAAGCCCUAGCUCAACAUGUAAGUUCGUCGGCGGCGAUACUCCGAUGCAAAAAAGUUUUGCCGGUCGGCGGCGGCGAUGUUCUCUCGCGAGAUUUCUCGAGUUGAAUGCUUGGAGUUGCUGACAAUUCCAAAAAAUUAUUUGAUGUGUUCGACUGACACUACUAUGAAGCAUAACAAAUAGCAGCAACCUCCGCAUGAAUGUGUGUACUAGUCUCCAGCUGUAUGCUGUAAGACAUAACCAAAUCACCUUUAUCUUUGUAUUGGUGAAACAAAGACAUGACAUAUGGAACAUCAGUAAGCUGACAAGGCAUGACGCGUGGAGCGUCUAUAUAGCGACAAGUGGCACUCUCAAUUAAUUGAAUUAAGAAUGCAAGGAAGGUACGAGAAAAAUACCCACGGGGUAGCAUAGAGAAAAGAACCGGGCCUGACAGUUGUCAAAAGAGAAACGGGAACGAAAUGGAUGAAGGCUGCAAAGAAGGGAAGAUACAUGAAUCAGGAAUAAAUAAGGAAGGCGAAUCAGAGCAAUUAUGAGGAAUCUUUAGUCAUAAAUAUGCCAGUUAUGGUUAUCUAUGGUAACGGGCAAUCAAUACAAUUAAUGCCCUUAAUAACUCCAAAUUAAGUGUGAGAACCGUUAUGAUUAUAUGCUUCUAUAUAAGGAUAAGAAUUUCAUUUGUAAAUGGAGGUUACGAUUAUUACUGAAAUACAUACUAUUAUUCUUUGCUUACUCUA
Nicotiana tabacum (common tobacco) is the source of this 802-nucleotide long non-coding RNA. RefSeq lists it as uncharacterized. NCBI's taxonomy places the organism in Eukaryota, Viridiplantae, Streptophyta, Magnoliopsida, Solanales, Solanaceae. The record is from RefSeq and is a predicted model, not a curated record.